UUAAAUUGAAGAGUUUGAUCAUGGCUCAGAUUGAACGCUGGCGGCAGGCCUAACACAUGCAAGUCGAACGGUAACAGGAAGCAGCUUGCUGCUUUGCUGACGAGUGGCGGACGGGUGAGUAAUGUCUGGGAAACUGCCCGAUGGAGGGGGAUAACUACUGGAAACGGUAGCUAAUACCGCAUAACGUCGCAAGACC
Molecule: ribosomal RNA, 196 nt
Filed under: Escherichia coli
Lineage: Bacteria; Pseudomonadati; Pseudomonadota; Gammaproteobacteria; Enterobacterales; Enterobacteriaceae
Description: partial 16S ribosomal RNA
Rfam family: Bacterial small subunit ribosomal RNA
Source: RNAcentral